Molecule: long non-coding RNA, 306 nt
Organism: Helianthus annuus (common sunflower)
Lineage: Eukaryota; Viridiplantae; Streptophyta; Magnoliopsida; Asterales; Asteraceae
Exons: 2
Source: RefSeq, a predicted model, not a curated record
GUAGGUCGUCACGCAGCGGAUUGAGUUGGAGUUUGGCGUUUCUGGAUACGCACUUCUGGAAGUAGUGGAUCUGGCACAGUAUGCAUUGUCUUCAAGCUGCGUAGGAAUAAUGAUGUCAUCCAAGUUUAGGAAAUCUGAUCUUUGCCUGGACGGGUCACAAGUCUUAAACUAUGUUUUAUUUCAUGUCUUUGGGUGUGUCGUUGAACAAGAUUUUAAUUAUGUCAUGUUGUAUCAUGUUUUAAGUGUCGACUUUUAAACAAUGUUGUCAUGUUUACUUUUUAAACUUGAAUCAAUGGAUGAACAUCA